UACGGGGGGGGCAAGCGUUGUUCGGAAUUACUGGGCGUAAAGGGCGCGUAGGCGGCUCGCUAAGUCGGGUGUGAAAACUCUGGGCUCAACCCAGAGCCUGCAUUCGAAACUGACGGGCUAGAGUUCUGGAGGGGAAAGCGGAAUUCCUGGUGUAGCAGUGAAAUGCGUAGAUAUCAGGAGGAACACCGGUGGCGAAGGCGGCUUUCUGGACAGAAACUGACGCUGAUGCGCGAAAGCUAGGGGAGCAAACAGG
This 253-nucleotide ribosomal RNA is filed under the name uncultured bacterium. RNAcentral describes it as "partial 16S ribosomal RNA". It matches the Rfam family "Bacterial small subunit ribosomal RNA", at positions 524 to 776 of the family's 1533-position model. The record is from RNAcentral.